Long non-coding RNA from Beta vulgaris subsp. vulgaris (sugar beet), 701 nucleotides. RefSeq lists it as uncharacterized. The record is from RefSeq and is a predicted model, not a curated record. NCBI's taxonomy places the organism in Eukaryota, Viridiplantae, Streptophyta, Magnoliopsida, Caryophyllales, Amaranthaceae. The transcript has 3 exons.
UAACAUAUGUUCAAAUUCUGUAUUUGAAUUACCUUUGUCUUUUUACUACAUUUCAUAGGCAUUUAUUUGCAAUCUGUUGAAAACACACAAAUCAUGAUCAAUCCUAGGACAAAGAUUGCAAGCAAACUAAAACAGUGGUUUCGUAACGAUCAAUUUGUCCGACACAAGACACUAUGGAUAAAUAAGACUUCUCUUCCGCUCAAUAGAUUACUAUGCAUCUCGAAUUCAAUGCGUUUAUCCAUUUCUGAGUUUCACAAAUACAACGGAGGAUGCAAGUGUAGGGUUGUUGGGAGAAUAGAUGAUAUUAAUAAAGUAAAUAGUUCGAAUUCCGUAUUCAUGCAUAUCAAAAUUAAGGAUAUAAGUGGGUCAUUAAGUGUUGGACUAUCUCACAAGCAAAUAUGUUUUAUAUUACAAAUGUCCACUCUUGAUCUACCAAAACGAACUGAAGAGGUAUGUAUGUUAAUAUUAUAAUCUUCUAUGAUACAACUACAACUUUGUAAUAUAAAUUUCGCAUUAUCGCUAAUGAUUGUUUUUUGUAGGUUAAAUACAUGGACAACAUACGGACCAAACUGUUCUCUCAUAUUGGAGAUGCAUAUGUUUUCGUACUUGAAGCGACAUUGCUAUGUUUUAAAUCUAAAGUUCAUAAAGUUGUGGAUGUUACACACGUUUACUGGGCGGAAGAGUGUGCUUAUCAAUUUACU